Musa acuminata AAA Group (dessert banana) is the source of this 2023-nucleotide RNA transcript. RefSeq lists it as uncharacterized. Lineage: Eukaryota; Viridiplantae; Streptophyta; Magnoliopsida; Zingiberales; Musaceae. The record is from RefSeq and is a predicted model, not a curated record. The transcript has 6 exons.
AGAAACAGCGUGCUCGGGAUCCGUCUCUAUCCCCCCCUCAGAGAGCGCCAUGGCGGUCGGGAGUAGAUCGAGGAUGGCGACGCUGAGGACGACGGCGUCGCUGCCGAUGCCCCGGCCGCCAGGAGGGCCGACGCCCCACCCCCUGUAGCGUUCCUGGACGUCAAGCCACCUGUGGCAGAUCCAUCCGGCUGAUCCACACCUUCUCCAUGAUCGAAGACUUCCGGAGGUAUGUUGGGGUACAGGAGGGUUGAGCAACUGUGACCCGAGAUGAACUUAGUUUGAUCAGACUGAAUGAAGCCAGAGAAGAAAAAGCAGCUGUGAUUGCCGCCAACCAAGCUUCCACAUAAAGUGGAAGCAGCUGUGCUACUCUUGAUGUAUCUCGAACAAAAUAUGUAGUAGGCUUAUCAACAAAGUAAAGAGAAAAUUUGAAGUAAGUUUGAUGGAUCUCUUUUACGGCAUAGUCAGACAGGACAGGUAGUAGGCAGUUGUUCAAGAGAAAAGGCUAGGCUUCUGAUUCAUCCAUUUGUGGAACUUCAACCAUGAGGCCCUUCUCAUUCCCGCUCCUUGUGGAUUUAGCAUCGUAGUGUAAGUGGAGCUCAUGAUGGUGCCGCUUGUCAGAAGCUGUAAGGAGGCCUUGCUACCUCACUUGGAUACAUAAAGAAGGACUGGCUUGUCCUGUUGUGGGGCUGGUGGAUGCAAGCGAGGAUCAACACAAUUCUCAACACAAUAUGACAAUUACUGUAUCAAUUUAGUGCAUCCACGCAGGAUGAUUCCCUGUGGCAUGUCAUUGGCCAUGUUCACUGGAAAACUCCAUGCUGGUUGAUUAGAUUAUGAGGGCAGAUUCUUGAAAGCAUGUUUAGAUGCAGUGGUUCGGAAGUGAGUGACAUUCAAUGGAAGAUCAGUUCCGCCUAGGAACCAGCAAUGGAGCAGUCGAUCCGGCAAUGGUAAUGGCAACGCAAGCCAAGCGCUACAGCGACAACGAUGGCAGAUCUUCGAGCCCCACCGUUCUCAACUUUCUCGAGGUGAAAGCCGAGCGCCCGAUGGAGCCUUUCGAGCUAAAUGGUUCCGUGAGCACUUCCCUAUUGUUCCCUUCUCCUCCAUGCUCUUCUUUUUGCUCUUCGUUGGUUCGGUCAUACGUCGUCUUCCCUGCAAGCGAUGUCCCUCCUGCAGGAAAACGAGAUUUCCACCUCCAAACACAUCAGAAACUUAAGCAGCGCAGCGCCCCUCAAUGGCUGCAGAUUCACAGUACCAACUCGACAUCGUCGCUUCAGCAGCGGCUGGGGCAUGGACCGGUGAAGCUCUUCAGAGGGGUGAGACAGAGGCAGUUGGGGAAGUGGGUGGCGGAGAUAAGGCUGCCGAGGAACCGGACCAGGUGUGGCUGGGGACAUUCGACACGGCCGAGGACGCGGCCAUGGCCUACGACAUAGCGGCCUACGAGCUCAGGGGAGAUGCGGUGCAUCUCAACUUCCCUCACGCCAAGCAACAGCUCCACGUCGCUGCCCGGGGACCCGGUCAUCCUCAUGCAGCGAUUUCUUCGCUACUGGAAGCAAAGCUCCAGGCUUCUGGCGGCUCCGCCUGCUCCACUUCUCCGUCGUGGAGCUUGAACGAGUUGAAACGAGCGUGGGAUUAAGAUCUUUUACGUGUGGGCGUCGACGAAUGCGGCCCACCGGAGAUGUAACGGCACAAGACCGCGAGCGCCGACAGUAGCCCGGCCUUCAUUGAGUGCUCCGGGCAAGGAGCUGCAGUGGGAUGCAGGUGGGGUGACGAUAAGCAGGAUGCCUUCCUUGGACAUGGACAUGGACACGAUAUGGGAUUCUCUCCCCAAACCUUGAUUUCCGAGUUCUUGGACUCGCUCCGUCUCUCCCUGCCUCUUAGCUUCUUUUCGUUGAUCACGAGUCCCGAGAGGCCGCUUCUCAGGCCUCCGGAUUUUGUCCCUCCCAUUCGUGAGUAGAACAACCAUAUUCUUGAACUGGCUUCGAGUUCGCUUUAGGUAUAAUAAUAAUUAAAAUUAAAAUUAAAUUAA